GAACGCUGGCGGCGUGCUUAAGACAUGCAAGUCGAACGGUAAGGCUUGUCACUCUUCGGAGUGACUCGCACACGAGUGGCGCACGGGUGAGUAACGCGUGGGUAAUCUGCCUUCGGGUUUGGGACAACUCCGGGAAACUGGAGCUAAUACCGAAUAAGACCACGAGGUCCUCGGACCUUGCGGAAAAAGGUGGCCUCUUCUUGAAAGCUAUCGCCUGUUGAUGAGCCCGCGUCCCAUUAGCUUGUUGGUGAGGUAAAAGCUCACCAAGGCAUCGAUGGGUAGCUGGUCUGAGAGGAUGAUCAGCCACACUGGAACUGAGACACGGUCCAGACUCCUACGGGAGGCAGCAGUCGGGAAUCUUGCACAAUGGGCGAAAGCCUGAUGCAGCAACGCCGCGUGAGGGAUGAAGGCCCUCGGGUCGUAAACCUCUGUCGGAAGGGAAGAAAGUAUUUCGGGCCAAUACCCCGGAGUAUCGACGGUACCUUCAAAGGAAGCGCCGGCUAACUCCGUGCCAGCAGCCGCGGUAAUACGGAGGGCGCGAGCGUUAUUCGGAAUCAUUGGGCGUAAAGCGCGUGUAGGCGGCUGGGCAAGUCGGAUGUGAAAGCCCGGGGCUCAACCCCGGAAUUGCAUUCGAAACUGCCCAGCUAGAGUCUCGGAGAGGAGGGCGGAAUUCCCGGUGUAGAGGUGAAAUUCGUAGAUAUCGGGAGGAACACCAGUGGCGAAGGCGGCCCUCUGGACGAUGACUGACGCUGAGACGCGAAAGCGUG
Molecule: ribosomal RNA, 767 nt
Filed under: uncultured bacterium
Lineage: Bacteria
Description: bacterial SSU rRNA
Rfam family: Bacterial small subunit ribosomal RNA
Source: RNAcentral